CCAAUAGCGUCUAUUAAAGUUGUUGCAGUUAAAAAGCUCGUAGUUGAAUUUCGGGAUCAAGGAAUCGGUCAUGCCUUGGUAUGUACUGGUUUUAUUGGUUCUCACCUUCUAAAGAACCAUAAUGUCAUUCAUUUGAUGUUAUGGGGAAUUAGGACUGUUACCUUGAAAAAAUUAGAGUGUUUAAAGCAGGCUCACGCUUGAAUACAUUAGCAUGGAAUAAUGAAAUAGGACGUUUGAUUCUAUUUUGUUGGUUUCUAGGAUCGACGUAAUGAUUAAUAGGGAUAGUUGGGGGCAUUAGUAUUCAAUUGUCAGAGGUGAAAUUCUUGGAUUUAUUGAAGACUAACUACUGCGAAAGCAUUUGCCAAGGAUGUUUUCAUUAAUCAAGAACGAAAGUUAGGGGAUCGAAGACGAUCAGAUACCGUCGUAGUCUUAACCAUAAACUAUGCCGACUAGGGAUCGGAUGAUGUUAAUUUUUUAAUGACUCAUUCGGCGCCUUACG
RNAcentral lists this ribosomal RNA (499 nucleotides) under uncultured Glomeromycotina. RNAcentral's name for it is "partial small subunit ribosomal RNA". It matches the Rfam family "Eukaryotic small subunit ribosomal RNA", at positions 591 to 1092 of the family's 1831-position model. Lineage: Eukaryota; Fungi; Glomeromycota. The record is from RNAcentral.